RNAcentral lists this ribosomal RNA (1056 nucleotides) under Alexandrium catenella. RNAcentral's name for it is "partial large subunit ribosomal RNA". It matches the Rfam family "Eukaryotic large subunit ribosomal RNA", at positions 88 to 1102 of the family's 3401-position model. Lineage: Eukaryota; Dinophyceae; Gonyaulacales; Pyrocystaceae. The record is from RNAcentral.
UGCGAAUGAACAAGGAUAUGCUUAGCUUGACAAAUGGAGCUAUUGGCUUUGAAUUGUAUUGUGGAAAUGUAUUACCAACAGAGGUGCAGGUGCCAGCCUAUUGAAAUAAAGCGUCAAUGAGGGUGAGAAUCCUGUUUGUCAUGUGCAGCCCUUUGUGCACGGUGUAUAUUUGCUGAGUCACACUCCUUGGCAUUGGAAUGCAAAGUGGGUGGUAAGUUUCAUGUAAAGGUAAACAUGCAAUUGAGACUGAUAGCACACAAGUACCAUGAGGGAAAUAUGAAAAGGACUUUGAAAAGAGAAUUAAAUGAGUUUGUAUUUGCUGAACACAAAGUAAACAGACUUGAUUUGCUUGGUGGGAGUGUUGCACUUGCUUGACAAGAGCUUUGGGCUGUGGGUGUAAUGAUUCUUUCUUUGCAUGCCAGUUUCUAUUUGUACAUCUGAUUACCUUUGCACAUGAAUGAUAAGUCUCCUGUGGGGGGUGGAUUGCAUGUGCAUGUAAUGAUUUGUGUUUUGAUAAAUGUGUCUGGUGUAUGUGUGUGUUCCUGUGCUUGGGGAUGCUUCCUUCCUUGGACUUACAAGCCCUGACACACACAUGCUGGCAAAAUGCUUCUGCUUGACCCGUCUUGAAACACGGACCAAGGAGUCUAACAGAUGUGCAAAGUUUGAAGGUGGUAUACCUUUGUGUGCAAUGAAAGUGUCAGCUGGGAUAUGUGCACCAGCACCCAAUUAAUUAGCGGACAGAGGUUUGAGUUGGAGCAUAUCUAUUAGGACCCGAAAGAUGGUGAACUAUGCCUGAACAGAAUGAAUUCAGAGGAAACUCUGAUGGAGGUUCGUAUCGAUACUGACGUGCAAAUCGUUCGUCAUAUUUGGGUAUAGGGGCGAAAGACUAAUCGAACCAUCUAGUAGCUGGUUCCCUCCGAAGUUUCCCUCAGGAUAGCUGGAGUUGCUCAGUUUUAUCAGGUAAAGCGAAUGAUUAGAGGAAUUGGGGACAGGUUUGUCUUUGACCUAUUCUCAAACUUUAAAUGGGUAAUAUGUAGUGGUUGCUGUAUGGAACUU